RNAcentral lists this long non-coding RNA (737 nucleotides) under Cyanistes caeruleus (blue tit). RNAcentral describes it as "lncRNA (ENSCCEG00000009790.1)". The record is from RNAcentral. Lineage: Eukaryota; Metazoa; Chordata; Aves; Passeriformes; Paridae.
UGGCCCAGGAAGAAUGGUUUGGCUACCAUUGAACCACAAGGGGAAGAGAGGAAAGGUACAGAACAGCUGGGUUUAAUGAGCUGGAACAGAUAAAAAUCACUCCCUGAGCACUGGAAAGCAGAAGGAGAACAAAGCCAAAUGUUCUUGCUGAGCAACACGGUGACCCUAUGAAGUCAGCUUCAGAGGCUCAUCCAGGAGUCACUUCCCCAUGGGCCUCCUCAAACAGGUCUACAAUUUGUUUCAGAACACCAGUGGUUUCAAUAGAUGCAUCCUUGCAUAAACCUGAAUCCCUGUUGCCACGAAAAUUAGCAGUGGAAAGCACCAGGUCCUUCUGCACAAGUGCUGGUGCAAAAUACAGACAGGGAGAAGAAAGCUGCUUGAUUACAGACAUGUAGGUAGAAGCCCUACAAAAGGCAGAGCAGCGCUGUUGGCUACUGCAGGCAGCACAGGGUGCGGCAGCAGAGACCUUUGGCUCAUCACCACUGUUCCAAGGGAGCUGUCUGCUGUCAUAAACGUGUUUCAUGUGAAGCCACAGGCAGUUGCCUCUUUGAUGUGCACUGCUGCCUUUCUCAAAUGGUGUGCUCCUUUCUGUGCAGUCACGGCAAAAGCAUCACUCUUAUCAGUUUGGACAAUGGAGCGGCUGUGGAGACAAAUCAGUUCUGUGCCUGUAGCAUGGGAGUGGGCUAAGACAUCACCUGAAUUUUAGUACUGAUAAUAAACUCAGCUGCUGCUGUACA